GAUAGCAUCACUACUGAUAUAACAGUUCAGUGCGGUUGGUAGUAAUUCUGCAGUAAUACUUUAUGUGGUUUAUGAUACAUCUUUUUCCUGAAAGCCACUAGGUGCCAUUGGUGGCUUUUGCAUUUAACAAUAUUGCAUUGUACAUAAGAAACAUUAUACUUCAAGGUAAAAUAAGUAAAAUUUCUACCCUUGAAAGUAGGCUUAUCCACAUUACACAUGCAGAUUCCCAUUGUAUCACCAGCUGAA
Molecule: unclassified non-coding RNA, 246 nt
Filed under: Hevea brasiliensis (rubber tree)
Lineage: Eukaryota; Viridiplantae; Streptophyta; Magnoliopsida; Malpighiales; Euphorbiaceae
Source: RNAcentral